GGACAGCAGCAUUGAGACCCUAAUAGAAGCUGUGAUCAGAGGCCUCAUUCUCUACCUUGAUGAAAGACAGAGGAGUUAAUCAAGGACUACCAGAUGAUGACAAUGCUUCAGCCAUCCAAGAGGCCCUCCCUUCAUUUGUUCUCAACAUCUUUGGAUGGAAGAAAAAUCAGGGCGGGAGGUCUUAAGCAGCAAGCUGGAGCAAUGGUCCUUUUUGAAGAUCUUCCUGGAGCUGGAGGAUGGGAAUCAAAAAAUGAUCCCCAAGUCCCCGAUCUCAAAGUCAGCUUACUGACCUAAAAGCCAUACAGACAUUGUUGAAAGCGAAGGACUGAAAAGCAA
This is a long non-coding RNA of Micropterus dolomieu (smallmouth bass), 336 nucleotides long. RefSeq lists it as uncharacterized. The record is from RefSeq and is a predicted model, not a curated record. Lineage: Eukaryota; Metazoa; Chordata; Actinopteri; Centrarchiformes; Centrarchidae. The transcript has 3 exons.